Molecule: transfer RNA, 86 nt
Filed under: Chloroflexota bacterium
Lineage: Bacteria; Bacillati; Chloroflexota
Description: Chloroflexi bacterium (anaerobic digester metagenome) tRNA-Leu
Rfam family: tRNA
About the family: Transfer RNA (tRNA) molecules are approximately 80 nucleotides in length. Their secondary structure includes four short double-helical elements and three loops (D, anti-codon, and T loops).
Source: RNAcentral
GGGGCGGUGGCGAAAUGGCAGACUCAGCGGACUUAAAAUCCGCCGGGGGAGACUCCGUGUGGGUUCGAAUCCCACCCGCCCUACCA